Molecule: long non-coding RNA, 2382 nt
Organism: Scylla paramamosain (green mud crab)
Lineage: Eukaryota; Metazoa; Arthropoda; Malacostraca; Decapoda; Portunidae
Exons: 3
Source: RefSeq, a predicted model, not a curated record
ACGGAGAGGAGUUCGAGUGUUCGAGACCAGCAGCGAGACCGAAACCCGCCGCCCUGCCACUGCCAGUGUCCCAGAAGCAGCUGUGGAAAGAAGGGUUCUGUUCUGGCCGAAGUUCCUUUGAUAUGGCAUCGAAAGCUCCUUGUCGCAACUUAAUUUUGGAGUACAGUGCAUCUUUGUGGUCUCACAGAAAUCCCUUCUGCCUCACAAGCUCGAGCAAAUACCCUCAGAAGUCCAUGUCCAUGGCAAUCUGGUGGCAAUCACUACGUACUGUCUCAAUUCUGUUGGCACAGCUGAUGUAAACACCUCUACGGAUCACUACGUGGGAACUUUUGGGCAGUCUUGAAAUCGGUUUUUGCGACCCCUAAGUUAUUUUUUUAAGUUAAUGUAGUUUAAGUUAAGGCUUACAUAAACACGUCAAAAAUAGUUUGGUGGUGAUGUCUAUGUUUUGUGUUUUGGAUGAAGCCAAUGAAUAACGCACGAUCGUCAAGACUAAAACUGAUUCGAGCUGGCAUUGUGUUCAUUGCUAUUGCCGGAGAAAGUGUUCAUGUGACCUCAACUAUACUGCAGUCCCCUGCCCCUCCCAGUUCCAGAAUGAGAAGAAAGGAAAAAUAAAGGGAUGUAAGUAUGGAAGGAGGGAAUGCAAGGUAAAGGGGACCUCAAUUCAAGGCUCCUUGGAGCUCUGCCUACUUGACCACUGAAGAACAGACCAGUGGAGUUGCCUGGCAUGCUGCCCAGGGAAAAAGUGUUGUACAGUUGAUUGGCAAGGCAUCCCUCACAGAGACCGCAGCAGCCUUCACCCCUUGCUGCUUUGAAGUUUAUGCUAUUUAGAAAUGAAUAGCUAGCCUUUCAGGUCUUGUGAUAUCAUCAAAGUUGGAGAUGGAGGUGAAAAGAGACAAGUCUUAUGGGGUGAAUUUAUUCCAGACUAGUUUCACUUUCAGCUUCCUCAGGGGAACUGAGUCAGCCUGUUUCACUGUUUAUUAAAGAAAAAGACAUUAUUAAUAAGGGGGGAUGAAGCAAAGAGAACUGACUGAAAAUUAGUGAGAGAACAAAUGACUGGCCAGUCUCGUUGGCUAUUUUUCAUCAAGGUGUAUCAUCCACUUGUUUUAUUAUGAUAUGCCCUGAAUUAUGUUGUUCAAACAGUGUUAGUUUGUUAGUGUUCAUCCUACAUGGUUUUUAAUAUGUUUUUCACUCAUGUGUGACUUCCAUGCAGAUACUUCUGUAAGAUUCAUAUUUCAAUGAAGACAAUACUCGCAUAUCAAUCUGUUUUCACCUAAUAUGUUUGCAUCACUGCUCACAAGUGGUCAUCUCUUUCACUUCAACCUGCUUCUUGCCUAUUUCUGCUAAGUCUUGAGAGAGCCUCAGAACAUUAAAGCCUGUCCACGUGAUCAACCACAGCUUGAUGGGCACUGCCUGCAACUGGGCUAAGUCCACAGGCACAACUGUUUUGUUGCCCACAUGGUGUUGAUCUGGCCCAGUCAUAACCUAAACUACAACCAGUAUUUUAGAGGGCACAGCUCAAUCAUCUAGAUGCAGCUUUACAGGCACCCAGUAUCACAAGCUUUUGAGGUUCAUGGGAGACCUGCAUGAAAAGAAAUGCCCCUUUCCGAGGCACUUGAUGAAGACGUCGCCUAAAGUUGGGAGAAUACCCUAUAGCUGUGUGGCCUCAACAUUCCUUAUUUUAUCAGCCUGUGAAUCUGUGGCAGGUGUUAUCCCUUGCCCCAGGUAACAGAGCCACUGUGAUGUCUGGGUUUCCAGUUUACCUUCCCCAUGUGUCACCAGCUGCCUACUACUCAACCAGCCCAGAGGAUGAACAGCUGCAGGAGUGUCAUGCAGACUGCAGAGGUCUGUGGAAUCGGUGAUCAUCCCUGCAAAUCCACAUGCCCUACCACACCAUGGAGGUGCUGUGUAACCAAGACCCUUUGAACCUACUGUGUCCACGCCUUGGUGCCAAAGACAAAAGUGUUGGGACAGGAGACUUAAAUGUACACAAGACCACCACAGGAUCCAGGUCAACACUCAGGGAAGAGAAGGGUUUGAGGCUGUCUGUUCAUCUUGUUCUGCCAGGGCAUCAAACCCUGAAUGUCAUGUGUUGAGAGUAAGCCAUUUACAAUACAGGAUACACUCCCAUCUCUCAAAUACACCCCUUCUCAAAUAAAUGCCACUAGUUCACCACCUGUCAUGUUGCUUAGUGCGCCCUGGUCUCACCUGUGCAUCUCUCAUUGCACUUUUGUCCUUGAUUGUGUAUCUUUGUCCCCUUGCCUUACUCUUGCAAUUUAUCUUUGCAAUUUAUCUUUGAUUAAUUUUACAUUUAUUUCUUUACCUUAGGCUUACCCCUCUCCUCUAAUCAAAUUUGCAUAUAAUAAAUAUAAAGAAACAUAAUAA